Acanthopagrus latus (yellowfin seabream) is the source of this 1851-nucleotide long non-coding RNA. RefSeq lists it as uncharacterized. The record is from RefSeq and is a predicted model, not a curated record. Lineage: Eukaryota; Metazoa; Chordata; Actinopteri; Spariformes; Sparidae. The transcript has 3 exons.
GUGAAUGGCGAUGUGUACUUCUGCAGGUAUCACCGGUUAUUUUAAGAAAGAAGCUCAGUUAAAUUUUGUGUAGAUCUCAACUUCCCAUGUCACCUGUAACACCUGAACGCUACGUAGCUGGCAAAGCAAGCAAUGAAGUCUAGAUAAAAUGGGCGAAAAAGUCAUGAAUAAUGCUAAUGUUAUCCAGUUAUCUACUUGGUGCAUCUUAAUGAUUGAUUCAGCUUUUAAAAGCAAUAUUCAAAAGGGUACACGAAUCGCUAAAAUAUGGUAGAAGUUGGUUAGCACCGUUGCCCCUCAGCAAGAAGGACAAGGGUUCAAGGCCCUUUCUGUGUGGAGUUUGCAUGUUUGCCCCAUGCCUGCAUGGGUUUUCUCCGGGUACUCCGGCUUCCUCCCACAAUCCAAAGACUUGCAACAGUUAGGGCACGGCUGGCAUUCUUCUCCGAUUUUACGAUUAGGGUCAAAUCACCUGAGACAUGAUGUGGACUGUUCCUGCACAAAGCUUAAUCCGUCACCAGUUACAGUUAGGUCAAGACUGGCUGUUCUUACUGGCAUAAGGUCGCAGAUUAAAAAGCCAGGGUUUUUCCUCUUGUCUCGUUUAUUGGAACUGAUUGCAUAAGCUUAAAAGACAACCAGUAUGAUUACAUCUGGUGAGUGUUGUGUCUGUCCUUUCUCUUCUCUUUACUCUAGUUUCAUUUGGAGUAAAGGCAAUUAUUAUCUCAGAAGCGGGAGAAUAGGACUCGUAGCAACUUCUAAAUGAAGUAUCAAUGCUAAUAUAAUCACAGUUCUAUUCUCUUUGAGGGUUUUUUUUCAGUCCCACGAGUUGAAAAUGUUACCCGAACAAAAGGUUUGUGCUUAUGUUCAGGUGUUACAACUCCACCUCAUGAAUGUAUACUGACAAGAGAAUAAACAGCAGAUAUGCUGAAGGAAACAUUUGCAUUUACAGGUGAGUCUGACAGAGAGUUGCCAUAAUGUACACAGUUAACAAUCUGAGCUAACCUGGCUACAGCUAACUUACGUUGCCUAUGGUUCCUAAAUUGGCUAAAUUGGAGCCAAUCAAUACAAAGCGCACAACCAUUCCAAUGUUCAAUUGCUGGAAGCUAAAAACAGCAGAUUUGGAUGUUAGCAUGGUGGUGACUCAACUUUCAUUAUCAGUCACCCUAUCCUCUCUCUCUUUUCUGCUUUGAGUUGUACACCAGGUGUGUCUGUUUGUGAAACAGAUGUUUAUGAUUUUAUAUGGGAUUAGUGUGAGCUAGACACUCAACGAAACAUUUUAGGGUUGGGCAGAAAGCCAAAAGAAUUUGAGCUAAACAGACUAAGCUAACAGGAGCAGAGUUGGGAGUUAGCAUGCUAGUUAUUCAACUUUAUUCAUCUGGAACCAUUUUUCCUCUGACUCUUUUAUAUUUUACCAGGUUAAUCUUUUACUGAAACUAAUGUUUAUGGUUUAAUAUUUGGCCAGUGAUGCCCAUGAGACUCAACAGUAGACUGCAGUGUAAAUGUGGCCAGAAAAGAAUGAGCUAAAACAGGCUAAAAGCCACGCAGCAGAAUUGGGUGUUGUGUUGUCAUGAUCUGUACAGUGCCACACCAUAAAGAAAGCACACGAAUGCUUUAAAAAAAAUCUAUUUCUUUUAAUCACUGAUAAUAAAUGAACAUGCUGUGUUAGCAAGGAUAUGGGAGUGAACGAGCUCAGCUCCUGGUAUUGAUCAGGACCGUAUAACCCAGCUAAUAAAACUGAGUUACUUAACCAAUGUUUCUUUUAACACUAUAUUUAUUUCAGGAAUGAUGUCCUUCCCCCAAACUAAGUAACUCAAAUGUAUUUUUUAUAGUUUCUUAAUAAAAAAUAGCUUAAGGCUA